UAAGGAAUAUUGGUCAAUGGGCGCAAGCCUGAACCAGCCAUGCCGCGUGCAGGAAGACGGCCCUACGGGUUGUAAACUGCUUUUGUACCGGAGUAAACCUUGAUAUGUAUAUCGAGCUGAAUGUACGGUAAGAAUAAGGAUCGGCUAACUCCGUGCCAGCAGCCGCGGUAAUACGGAGGAUCCAAGCGUUAUCCGGAUUUAUUGGGUUUAAAGGGUGCGUAGGUGGCCUAUUAAGUCAGGGGUGAAAGACGGUAGCUUAACUAUCGCAGUGCCUUUGAUACUGAUGGGCUUGAAUACAGUUGAAGUAGGCGGAAUGUGACAAGUAGCGGUGAAAUGCAUAGAUAUGUCACAGAACACCGAUUGCGAAGGCAGCUUACUAAAGUGUGAUUGACACUGAGGCACGAAAGCGUGGGGAUCAAAC
This 421-nucleotide ribosomal RNA is filed under the name uncultured bacterium. RNAcentral describes it as "bacterial SSU rRNA". It matches the Rfam family "Bacterial small subunit ribosomal RNA", at positions 355 to 773 of the family's 1533-position model. The record is from RNAcentral.